Molecule: ribosomal RNA, 473 nt
Filed under: uncultured organism
Description: partial 16S ribosomal RNA
Rfam family: Bacterial small subunit ribosomal RNA
Source: RNAcentral
GUACACUCCUACGGGAGGCAGCAGUAGGGAAUCUUCGGCAAUGGGGGCAACCCUGACCGAGCAACGCCGCGUGAGUGAAGAAGGUUUUCGGAUCGUAAAGCUCUGUUGUAAGUCAAGAACGAGUGUGAGAGUGGAAAGUUCACACUGUGACGGUAGCUUACCAGAAAGGGACGGCUAACUACGUGCCAGCAGCCGCGGUAAUACGUAGGUCCCGAGCGUUGUCCGGAUUUAUUGGGCGUAAAGCGAGCGCAGGCGGUUUGAUAAGUCUGAAGUUAAAGGCUGUGGCUCAACCAUAGUUCGCUUUGGAAACUGUCAAACUUGAGUGCAGAAGGGGAGAGUGGAAUUCCAUGUGUAGCGGUGAAAUGCGUAGAUAUAUGGAGGAACACCGGUGGCGAAAGCGGCUCUCUGGUCUGUAACUGACGCUGAGGCUCGAAAGCGUGGGGAGCGAACAGGAUUAGAAACCCGGGUAGUCC